UAUGAUAAUUUUUAAAGCACGAGGAAACUGGCGUACCGUUCACCGCAUCCAAAUGAAUGCAUUGAAAUUUUGAAAUAAACAUUUAAAUAUAUUUUGCAUGGGUUUUCCUUAUUUUUUCCGUUAGUUGUUCAGCAUGCAGCGAUUGCAGAUGCGAUGAAGCGCACAAUGGUGUUGUGACUUUAUUUUGUAGUGUCUCAAUUACUGCCGUGCUAAGGAAAAACACCGUAUGAACAUUCGAGAGUUGCCAAAUUUCCCUUGAUAAAACAUGUACUUUUGACGAGAUUCAUGCACAUUUUUUUUUAAAUUUUCCGAUGUUUUAGAUUAAAUUGCGUACAAAAUUGUCUGAACAUUUUAGAAAAAAAUAUUCACAAUUUUCCUAGUAAAUUCAGUUUUUUAUCGAAGAAAUCUUGGCAACAUCUUAUUAACUCGGAAGGUUUAUACGGAGGUCUUUCUUAUAGUACGGCAGGGUAGAGCCCACGAUGGAAAUACCCGGAAAAAAUCGAGAAAAAAUAUAAUUAAUUUUUUAAAAAAAAAACUCCCUUCCAGUAUCAAAAGUGGCAGUAAAUUAAAGUAAUAAUUAGUAUAGACACUGGUGUAUAUGAUGGUUAUGCGCAAGUAACUCUUGAUAAGACACAUGACUCUUGGCCAUCGACGAAGGUUCGGGAAUGGAUACUGGAUAGUUGGAAAGUACAUCGGAUUAGCUGACAUUUUCGGUAUCCGAAAACCAUUGCGGCCACCCGUUUCUGUCGGAUAGUUCUUAUCCCGAAAUUCGAUUAUCCGGCACAUUCAACAAAACUGGUGCUUCC
RNAcentral lists this long non-coding RNA (806 nucleotides) under Bemisia tabaci. RNAcentral describes it as "lncRNA ENSSSA2NGG011766". Lineage: Eukaryota; Metazoa; Arthropoda; Insecta; Hemiptera; Aleyrodidae. The record is from RNAcentral.